UUCCGGUUGAUCCUGCCGGACCCGACUGCUAUCAGAGUGAGAUUAAGCCUUGCGAGUUAACGUAGCAAUACGUGGCGCACGGCUCAGUAACACGUAGUCAACAUGCCCAGAGGACGUGGAUAACCUCGGGAAACUGAGUCUAAACCGCGAUAAGUGAGGAUUUCUGGAAUGGUUCCUGACUAAAAUCUAUAUGGCCUCCGGAUUGGACUGCGGCCGAUCAGGCUGUUGGUGAGGUAAUGGCCCACCAAACCUGUAACCGGUACGGGCUCUGAGAGGAGGAGCCCGGAGAUGGGCACUGAGACAAGGGCCCAGGCCCUAUGGGGCGCAGCAGGCGAGAAACCUUAGCAAUGUGCGAAAGCACGACUGGGUCAGUCCGAGUGAUUCCUGAUAAAGGAGUCUUUUAUCUGUCCUAAAAGCACAGGUGAAUAAGGGGUGGGCAAGUCUGGUGUCAGCCGCCGCGGUAAUACCAGCACCUCGAGUGGUCAGGACGUUUAUUGGGCCUAAAGCAUCCGUAGCCGGCUUUGCAAGUCUUCGGUUAAAUCCACCUGCUCAACAGAUGGGCUGCUGGAGAUACUACAAAGCUAGGGAGUGGGAGAGGCAGACGGUAUUCAGUGGGUAGGGGUAAAAUCCUCUGAUCCAUCGAGGACCACCAGUGGCGAAGGCGGUCUGCCAGAACACGUUCGACGGUGAGGGAUGAAAGCUGGGGGAGCAAACCGGAUUAGAUACCCGGGUAGUCCCAG
This 740-nucleotide ribosomal RNA is filed under the name uncultured archaeon. Its description in RNAcentral is "bacterial SSU rRNA". It matches the Rfam family "Archaeal small subunit ribosomal RNA", at positions 1 to 750 of the family's 1478-position model. The record is from RNAcentral.